UAGGGAAUCUUCCGCAAUGGACGAAAGUCUGACGGAGCAACGCCGCGUUAGUGAAGAAGGAUUUCGGUUCGUAAAACUCUGUUGUUAGGGAAGAAAAAAUGUAUAGUAACUAUAUACAAAAGAGACGGUACCUAACCAGAAAGCCACGGCUAACUACGUGCCAGCAGCCGCGGUAAUACGUAGGUGGCAAGCGUUGUCCGGAAUUAUUGGGCGUAAAGCGCGCGCAGGUGGUUUAGAAAGUCUGAUGUGAAAGCCCACGGCUCAACCGUGGAGGGUCAUUGGAAACUAAUAAACUUGAGUGCAGGAGAGAAAAGUGGAAUUCCUAGUGUAGCGGUGAAAUGCGUAGAGAUUAGGAGGAACACCGGUGGCGAAAGCGGCUUUUUGGCCUGCAACUGACACUGAGGCGCGAAAGCGUGGGGAGCAAACAGG
Molecule: ribosomal RNA, 429 nt
Filed under: Verrucomicrobiota bacterium
Lineage: Bacteria; Pseudomonadati; Verrucomicrobiota
Description: Verrucomicrobia bacterium partial 16S ribosomal RNA
Rfam family: Bacterial small subunit ribosomal RNA
Source: RNAcentral